This 300-nucleotide ribosomal RNA is filed under the name Vibrio parahaemolyticus. Its description in RNAcentral is "bacterial SSU rRNA". It matches the Rfam family "Bacterial small subunit ribosomal RNA", at positions 468 to 829 of the family's 1533-position model. Lineage: Bacteria; Pseudomonadati; Pseudomonadota; Gammaproteobacteria; Vibrionales; Vibrionaceae. The record is from RNAcentral.
UUUGACGUUAGCGACAGAAGAAGCACCGGCUAACUCCGUGCCAGCAGCCGCGGUAAUACGGAGGGUGCGAGCGUUAAUCGGAAUUACUGGGCGUAAAGCGCAUGCAGGUGGUUUGUUAAGUCAGAUGUGAAAGCCCGGGGCUCAACCUCGGAAUUGCAUUUGAGAGAUCUGAAGGAAUACCGGUGGCGAAGGCGGCCCCCUGGACAGAUACUGACACUCAGAUGCGAAAGCGUGGGGAGCAAACAGGAUUAGAUACCCUGGUAGUCCACGCCGUAAACGAUGUCUACUUGGAGGUUGUGG